GAUUCUGGCUCAGGAUGAACGCAGCGACAGGCCUAACACAUGCAAGCGAGGGGCAGCACAAGGAGUAAUCUGAGGUGGCGACCGGCGCACGGGUGAGUAACACGUAUGCAACCUGCCUUUAAGCGGGGGAUAACCCGGAGAAAUCCGGACUAAUACCGCAUAAUGCCUAUUUACUGCAUGGUAAAUAGUUUAAACAUUUAUGGCUUACAGAUGGGCAUGCGUAUGAUUAGCUGGUUGGUGAGGUAACGGCUCACCAAGGCAACGAUCAUUAGGGGUUCUGAGAGAAAGGUCCCCACACUGGUACUGAGACACGGACCAGACUCCUACGGGAGGCAGCAGUGAGGAAUAUUGGUCAAUGGGCGAGAGCCUGAACCAGCCAAGUCGCGUGAAGGAAAGAAGGUUCUAUGGAUUGUAAACUUCUUUUGCAUGGGAAUAAAGUGAGCUACGUGUAGUUUAUUGUAUGUACUGUGCGAAUAAGGAUCGGCUAACUCCGUGCCAGCCGCCGC
RNAcentral lists this ribosomal RNA (506 nucleotides) under uncultured bacterium. RNAcentral describes it as "bacterial SSU rRNA". It matches the Rfam family "Bacterial small subunit ribosomal RNA", at positions 15 to 518 of the family's 1533-position model. The record is from RNAcentral.